This 328-nucleotide ribosomal RNA is filed under the name uncultured eukaryote. RNAcentral describes it as "partial 18S ribosomal RNA". It matches the Rfam family "Eukaryotic small subunit ribosomal RNA", at positions 1470 to 1796 of the family's 1831-position model. The record is from RNAcentral.
CCCUUAGAUGUUCUGGGCCGCACGCGCGCUACACUGACGCAUUCAACGAGUCUAAAACCUGGUCUGAUAGGGCUGGGUAAUCUUUUGAAUGUGCGUCGUGAUUGGGAUAAAUGAUUGUAAUUCUUCAUUUUCAACGAGGAAUGCCUAGUAAACGCAAGUCAUCAGCUUGCAUUGAUUACGUCCCUGCCCUUUGUACACACCGCCCGUCGCUCCUACCGAUUGAGUGGUCCGGUGAGGCUUUGGGAUCUGAGCGGAAAGAGCGUUUCGCUGUUUCUGCCCGGAAAACUCAGUCGAACCUUAUCAUUUAGAGGAAGGAGAAGUCGUAACA